GCGGGGGUCCACGCGUCCCCCGCCCGAACACGACCGUUAAGCGCUCCAGCGCCGAUGGUACUUGGACCGAAUGGUCCGGGGAGAGUAGGAC
Molecule: ribosomal RNA, 91 nt
Filed under: Paenibacillus riograndensis
Lineage: Bacteria; Bacillati; Bacillota; Bacilli; Caryophanales; Paenibacillaceae
Source: RNAcentral